This 208-nucleotide small nuclear RNA is filed under the name Erinaceus europaeus (western European hedgehog). Its description in RNAcentral is "U2 spliceosomal RNA". It matches the Rfam family "U2 spliceosomal RNA". From Rfam's summary of the family: U2 is a small nuclear RNA (snRNA) component of the spliceosome (involved in pre-mRNA splicing). Complementary binding between U2 snRNA (in an area lying towards the 5' end but 3' to hairpin I) and the branchpoint sequence (BPS) of the intron results the bulging out of an unpaired adenosine, on the BPS, which initiates a nucleophilic attack at the intronic 5' splice site, thus starting the first of two transesterification reactions that mediate splicing. Lineage: Eukaryota; Metazoa; Chordata; Mammalia; Eulipotyphla; Erinaceidae. The record is from Rfam by way of RNAcentral.
AUUGCUUUCUGCUCAUUUUAGCUAAGAGAGAAAGUACUUGUUCUCAUCAGUUUAGUAUCUGAUAGAUCCUCUCUAUGUCCUCGACUCAAGGACAAUAUAGUAAAUGGAUUUCUUUUUUAAUCAGGGAGUUGGUAUAGGAGCUUAUUCUGUCUGUUCCACACAUUGACUUGGAAUUUCAAUACCCACCCCCAGAAAUGGUGCACCAGAG